Molecule: small nuclear RNA, 107 nt
Organism: Prionailurus viverrinus (fishing cat)
Lineage: Eukaryota; Metazoa; Chordata; Mammalia; Carnivora; Felidae
Source: RefSeq, a predicted model, not a curated record
GUGCUCACUUCGGCAGCACAAAUACUAAAAUUGGAACGAUACAGAGAAGAUUAGCAUGGCCGCUGCACAAGGAUGACACACAAAUUUGUGAAGCGUUCCAUAUUUUU